This 2312-nucleotide long non-coding RNA is filed under the name Ailuropoda melanoleuca (giant panda). Its description in RNAcentral is "lncRNA (ENSAMEG00000026038.1)". Lineage: Eukaryota; Metazoa; Chordata; Mammalia; Carnivora; Ursidae. The record is from RNAcentral.
AUGCUUGGGACUCGCACUUUCCCAGGGCUGCCGCAGAGGCUGGCCUUGUCUUGCUCCAGGGCUAGAACAGACCACCGACAGCUCCCUUGUGAGCAGAUGUUCCGGAAACCCAACCUACCCACACGGAGGAAAGUUCCCUGCUUUCCAGCCGCCAGGACGUCAGCCAACUGGGCAUCCGAGCCUGCCUUUGACUCUGAUGACAUUGAUGUGGCUACCAUGACCCCCUCCCACGCUCCUCCUGACAGCCCCCCGCACCCGACCGCGUUGCCAGUGCCGAGCCUCUGGGAAAUCUGGCAGUGUCAGCACCAGCUCCAGUCCUAACCUCUGCGGAAGCACAGGCACCCAGUGCGAGCACAGCCCGCUCAGCUUCUGCACAUGGGACACUCCUGUGUUCCACCUUGGCAUCUCUGUUGGCCAUCCUCCAUCGCAGUGCGGCCAUCAUCAGGAUGCCCAAAACUAGGCGCAGCUCACCUUUUGCAAACAUGACUCCAGAGCUGUUUCCUUUCAAGGCAUCUGCAGCUCCUUUGAAUAAUGACCGUCGUGGGGACAGCACGUCCGCCCCAGACCUCAGCUCCAUAUCUGAAGCACUGGGCUUUAGCACGGGGCCGAGGGGGACAGCCAGGACCUCAGCUCACAGUGGUGGAGGCUGAGACCUGAACACCAGAGUCCUGCCAGCCUGUAGCACACACGGCAAGCCUCCGCCGGGAGACGCAUUCCUUCUCACCCAAUCUCAGACCACCGAGAAUGCCCAGGCUGGGCGCAUUCGUCCCAUCGGCAGAGAAACCAUCCUUGACAACACAUGCGCCAGAAGACACUUCUGUUCCUCCUGAGUUCAGAUCACCUGGAGACCAUCCGGCCAAAGCACCGCAGCUGCGGUAAGAGGGGCAACACCACAGCUGCGCUUGGAGGGCCCUGUGUUUCCACCUGCAGUCUGAGCACCUGGGGUCCACUCGUGCAAGCACAGCGAGAGUUCCAGCGAGAGGGGCCAGGACAAGAACGUGGUGGGGAAUCAGUGCUCCCUUCCUGUGUCUGCUCAGUGCCCUCGGGGCCCGUGUGGCCAGGGCAGACCUGCUCCUGAUGGAGAAGCCUCCACCACUGAGAAGAAACAUGGGCCAGAAAAGGCUACUGUCCGUGCCUGCCAUCAGGUGUUGCAGCGCCACCCGGCCAGGGCGCCUGUGGUGCAGUCAGAGGGGCUGGAGCCACCGGUGUGGCUGGAGAAACUACGGUCCGUGAAUCCAGUCUGGCACCUGGGGUACAUGAGCGCAGAGGACAGGGCGUGCAGCGGGAGGCGACAGCACGCUAGCUGUGUUUGGACACACUUCUAGUUCCCCCAUCAUUCCGAGCGCCCUGGGAGGCUCACGGCCACAGCACAUGUGUUGCAGUCACAUGGGACGAUGUCACUUUCAGGAAGACACUUGGGGCCUGGCCUUCGGUCAGUGCACUGGGGCCUUCCCGGCCAGGAUGCCCCCUUUGACUUUGUAGGAGCCGACACCACGGAGAAAAUAGCUGGGUUUCCGGCACGUUUUCAGCUCCCUUCGCCCGGAUCACGGGUGCCUUCAGUGGGUCCAGCAAGGGGCAGCCUUGCCUUUGGGGUAGCAGACUUGUUACCUGUCCAGGAUUCUUUGCAUAUACGGGGUGGCGGCACCAACCCAUUGGUCAUCUUCUCCUGCAAGAACUAGGCUGUCAGCCACUAGGAAGCAAGAGCCUCCUCUACAAAUGGUGGGCAACCGCUGACCUUCCCACAUGGCUUUGCAAUGCUGGGGACAGUCUCAGGCACCCCUGGUUCUCUCAAUCAAACCUCCCCUGUGUUUUGUUUUCCUAGAGCAAGCUGCAGGCUCCACAGCUCCAGCCGUUUGUGUAUGCGUCCAAGAUUGUGGGCUCCGAUGAGGCUGGUCAGAGGUCAACACACUGGCUUGAAAAGGUCCCCUGCGGAGAGAAGGGAGAGAUCUGUAAACAUAACCGUGCAACACUCUGCUUUCAACUGUUGGCCUGGAAGACUCAAGCUCUAGGUCGGUUUUCCUCUAGUCUUAAAACUGGCAGGACAGCCACUGCUACCUACAGCUGCCCCUUUCCUCUUGCCCGUUGGCUUCAGUCAGUCUCUAUCUUUCUUUCCCAGCUAGGAUAUACAUAUACAUACGCGGUUCUGGUUAAUUGGGCCUCUGCCGAUGUGUUUGGCUUCUUCAACUCAAUGAGGGAGGAAGAACUGAUCUGUACAAGCGGCAACGUGUUGAGCCAAAUCAACGGUGCGAAGCCUCUGUGGCCCAGGAAAUAGGAUAUGGAGGCAGUCCCGCUAAGGGCAGCAGGAGCUGACU